UGAUAGCGUAGAAGCGUGAGGUUGCUGCUUUGCCGAGAGGCACUGCAGGUUUUCCGUGGAGCGAAUGUCAAGAGACCGGAA
Molecule: non-coding RNA, 81 nt
Filed under: human gut metagenome
Description: S10-Clostridia ribosomal protein leader
Rfam family: S10-Clostridia ribosomal protein leader
Source: RNAcentral